AACAUAGUCCAAGAGAGAAAGAAGGAAUGUUAAGGAGUGAGUGCAGUUUCUGAAAACAAACUCCACGCUUCCUGUCUCCCUUCCUUUUGCUCUCAGAACCAGUCUUAAAGGUGCAAAACUUCUUUCUGGACUAAACAGACAAACAGGGAUACAAGCAUCAUAAAGUCACCCCAGGACAAUGACUCAACCACUUUUCUGGGCAGCCUGUUCCAAUGCUUGACAACCACUUCAGUGGAGAAAUUUUUUUUAAAUUUUUCUAAACCUCCACUGGCAACACUUGAGCCCAUUUCCUCUUGUCCUAUCACUUGUUACUUGGGAGAAGAGACCAACACUCUCAGGUAGUUAUAGAGAGCAAUAACGUCUUCCUUCAGCCUCCUUUUCUCCAGACUAAACAACUCCAGUUCAUAGAAUCAGAGAAUCAGAGACUGGCUUGGGUUAGAAAGGACCUUAAAGAUCAUCUUGUUCCAAACCCCUCACCAUAGGCAGGGACACCUUUCACUGGACCAGGUAGCUCAGAGCCCCGUCCAACCUGGCCUUUAACACUUCCGGGGAUGGAGAAUUCACAACAUUCUCUGGGCAACCUGUGCCAGUGCCUCAUCACCCUCACAGUAAGGAAUGUUUUCCUAAUAUCUAAUCUAAACCUACUCUCAGUUUGAAGCCAUUCCCCUUGUCCUAUCACUGCAUGCUCUUGUAAAACGUCCCUCUCCAGCUUUCUUGUAGGCCCUCUUUAGUUACUGGAAGGCUACUAUAAGGUCACCCCAGACCCUUCUCUUCUCCAGGCUGAACAGCACCAGCUGUCUCAGCCUUUCCUCAUAGGAGAGGUGCUCCAGCCCUCUAAUCAUCUUGGUGACCCUCGUCUGGACUCGCUUCAACAGGUCUAUCUCCUUGUAAUGAGAACCCCAGAGCUGGAUGCAGCACUUUAAGCGGGGUCUCAUUAGAGUGGAGUAGAGGGGUAGAAUUACUUCCCUUGACCUUCUGGCUACAGUAGUUUCCUCAGUUGCUCCUCUUAAGAUGUGCUCUAGACCUUUCAUGAGUUUUGUUGCCCUUCUUUGAACAUGCUCCAGCACCUCAUUGCCCUCCAGUGAGGGAGACUCCUCAACCUGGACAACCUGUUCCAGUGCUCAGUCAGCCUCACAGUGAAAAAGUGUUUCCUGAUGUUUACCUGAAACCUCCUGUGUUUCAUUUUGUGUCCAUUACAUCUUGUCCUGUCACUGGGCACCAUCUUCAUAAAUGACUUGGACAGAGGACUGGAAGGAAGAUGAAGUUUGCUAUGAUAUAAAUUGGGAGGAGUUGUUGACUGCCUUGAAGGCAGUGAAGUACUGCAGAGAGACUUUGACUAAUGAAAGGACUAGGCAAUAACCAACCAUAUGAAGUUCAACAAGGGAAAAUGCCAGAUUCUGUACCUGACACAGGGCAACCCUGGAUGUAGGGACAGACUGGGGAAUGAGAGGCUGGAAAGCAGUGCUGUGGAAAGGGACCUGGGGGUCCUGGUUGAUGGCAAGCUGAAUAUGAUCCAGCAGUGUGCCCUGGCAGCCAGGAGGGACAACUGUGUCCUGGUGAGAAGGACCAAUCUGAUUUUUAUUUAUGCCUCAACAUAUAUUCCUGGAGGGGCUGUAGAUUUGCUGUCAGCCCUGUCCCUGGGAAGGUCUCACCUGGCAGCCAAUCAGGGCAGAGAAAGCUUCCACAAUCAAGCUGCAAGUGACUUGCAAGUGGGGCAGAUGCCUCAGAUGCGUGGGGGAAAAUGCCCGUGCGAGAAACUAGGCUGUCUCCCUGUUCUUCUAAGUUCUUCUAAGCCUUCUGAUGUUUACAUUCUUGUAAUGAACUUUCUCACGCACUUUUAUGUAAAUAAUUGUUUUACAUUCUUCUCUGGAGGAGGAGAAAUUUGAUGGACUGUUGUCUUGUCCAGUGUCAUUGGAGAGGUGGCACUUUCAACCUCCAAUCCACUGUCACUUUUGUAAGUCUAUAAAUAUUGGAGUCAGGAAAUAAACUUCCCUUCUUUUUCUUCUUCUCACCUUGGAGUCCAGUGUCCAUGUCAUGUUAUUUCGUGUCCUAUUGCGACAUCUGGUGGCCGCCAUGUGUGGGACAGCCGUGGGUGAGGUCGUAUAGUUCCCCCCCUCCCUGCUUUGGCGUGGUGACUGUGAGCCGUUUGUCACUUUGCCUUCAGCUCUUGUGAUAAUGGCAACCCCUGUGGUUUCCAUGGAGGACUCCCUGGUUUUGGAUCUCUGGAAGGGUCUCAUAGAGUGAAAACGGGCUUCCGUUUCCUGGAGCAAUUUUGAAAGAUUAUUUCUGUGGGCCAGAGAGCAAGGGUUUUUUCCAGACCCUGCCGAAGCGUUCUCCAGGGAGGCGUGGUCUCUCGUGGGAGAAAGCCUCAUGGAAGCUCUCCUUGCUGAUUGUAGUACAGAGGUGGGAUCAUUGCUGGUGCAAUGGAAAAAGUUUGACGCGGUUUGGAUUUUGUAGCUCUCGGAGUUCCCAGGGGGACCCUUCCAUCUUGGACACGGACGAGGGGGAAUUUGAAUUUCUGCGCGAAGCAGAACCCUCCCCUCCCCCCCAGGACGAUGAGCUGGGUGACGGUUCCGUCUCAGACGGUGACGUUUGUUCCCCUGGGGUGGAUUGGGCUCCCGGCCAGCUGGUUCUGAGCGGCUGGCAAGUGGGCGGAGCCCCGCAGUCUUCUGGGGGCCCUGUGGAGUCAGCUAAAUAGACCCCGCCCCUCCCCGCACUGCAGAGGCGGCGGGGUGGGGAGAAAUCACUCCCUUUUUGUGCCUUCCCGGCACUCGGGGGCUGCGGGGAGCCCCUGGCUUAGCCUCCGCCUCUGCUUCAGUCUGAUUCGGUGACAACACUCUGUCCGAAUUGCGGCGUUUCCAUGAAAUAGCUCCUGGGUGCGGUGGGAGCGGGUUCGUCGGCUUCGGCGCUGGCCCCGUCCUCGGAGGGAGGGGCGGGGGGAGGUGGUAUCGACCGCCUCUGAGACUGCGCAGCCUGCCGGGCAUGCGCAGGCCGUGGAAACCGCCGGAGCCGGGGCGUUGGUCGGUGUUAUGUCGGGCCCCACCACGAAUUCGACAUUUUUGAGUCUAAAUGGACACAGUUGGCAGCCAGCGCAGUGGAUGGAGCGGAAUGCUAUGCUGGGUCUGCAGGAUCCCAGAGAGGCUGACUGCCUCGGUGGAGAAGCAAGUGGCAGACCCUGAGGCAAGGAGGCUUGUGCUUACACACCUUGCAAGAUGUAACUGCAAUGACGAUUGUAGGAGAAUCACAGACACUCUUCCUGGUGAUCCUUCCAUCUCCCAGAUGGUGGAGGCCUGUGCAAAGGGCAGUUGACUGGUCGCAUCGAGACGGCGGCUUUGGAUCCACUGGGCCGCCUCAAGUUCACUGGACUGCUGUCCUGACCAAGGAACGUCCCAAGAUGAUGUGUACCCUGUCCAUUUCUGGUGCAAUGCUGCCAGAGAUCCGCCUCUGCGGGCUUCUCGACAGUGGCGCGUAUGUCACGGUUCUCUCCCUUGCUGCCUGGCCCCUGGAGUGGCUCCUGAAUCCGGUGGAGACGCCUGUCAUGGGACUGGGAAGAAUGGCGCAAUGCUACGUGAGCCAGCGGCCCAUGCUGGUCGCGAAUCUAGAGUGACAGAUGACCUUGGUUUGGCCUCAUGUUACUUCAGCUCCUGCUAACCUCUGGGGAAGGGAUGUGCUGUCCACGUGGGGGGUGCGCAUCUGGACGGAUUUUUGAUGGGGGCCACUGUGAUGAAGACGCAGGGUGCCCUACGCCUCCUAUACAGUGGCUGGUGGACAAACCCAUCUGGGAGAACCAGUGACUCCCCCCUCAAGACAAAUUAGUCACCCUUCGAAACCUGGUGCAGGAGCAGUUGGACCAGGGUCAUUCGGAGCAUUCUACCAGUCCCUGGAACACUCCUGUCUUCUGCAUCAAGAAAAAAAUCUGGGAAAUAGAGGUUGUUACAAGACCUCAGAAAGGUCAAUGCCGUGAUGGAAAGCAUGAGAACAUUGCAGGUGGGCAUGCCGUCACCUACCGUGCUUCCCACAGACUGGACAGUCCUUAUUGUGGAUUUCAAGGAUUGUUUUUUUACUAUUCCUUUGUAUCCCGAUGACAGACCAAAAUUUGCCUUCUCGGUGCCAGCAAUUAACAACGCUGAGCCCGCACAGCGAUAUCAAUGGAGAACUUUGCCCCAAGGCAUGCGCAAUUCUCCGGCCAUAUGCCAAUGGUAUGUGGCCCAUUCCUUGUCUGGAGUUCACAAGCAGUUUCCUGAUGCCCGUCUUUACCAUUAUAUGGAUGACAUUUUGGUGGCUGCGUCCACCCAGGAUGAGCUGCUGAGGAUACAGCCUCAGUUGCUCGAUGCUCUGCAUUAUCAUGGGCUGCAGGUGGCUCUAGAAAAGGUUCAACAACAACCUCCUUGGAAGUAUUUGGGGGUCAAAAUUCUGGAACGGACAAUCUGUCACCAGGAGGUGCAAUUUGUGCAUUCUGUGAAGACACUGAAUGAUGCCCAAAAAUUGGUAGGUGUCAUCACUUGGUUACAUCUGUACUUGGGACUGACCGAUGCACAACUGUCCCCUCUAUAUGAUUUGGUAAAGGGAGACUUGUAGCAGGCACAAGGCCUGCACGGCCUCCUUGGCGAUCAGAAGCCUGAGCUAGGAAAUGCCAAAGUCAGCAUGACUAAGGCUUUAGAAGCCCCUCUCUUCCGUCUCUCGGACCCUGCCAUAACCCGAUCUGGAUCGAGCAGUGGCCCCUCUCUAAAGUCAAACUGCGCUCACUACAUGCCCUUGUGGAUGAACAGCUCGCCAAAGGCCACAUCGUAGAGACCACCAGCCCUUGGAAUUCUCCAGUCUUCAUGCUACAAAAGCCUGGAACACACAGGUGGAGGCUCCUCCACGAUCUUCGCAAAAUCAAUGAGGUCAUCGAGGACAUGGGUCCCCUCCAGCCUGGCCUGCCCUCACCAUCGAUGCUGCCUAGAGACUGGACACUUGCUAUCAUUGAUAUUAAAGACUGUUUCUUCAGCAUCCCGCUGCAUCCCCAGGACACUCCACGGUUUGCCUUCUCCGUCCCCUCUCUUAACAGAGAGGUUCCACUCAAAGGAUAUCACUGGCGUUUUCUUCCUCAGGGACUUAAAUGCAGCCCCACUCUAUGCCAGUGGUAUGUUGCCCACAUUCUGUCUACCGUUCGGAACCUAUUCCCAGAUGCGAUCAUCCAUCACUAUAUGGACGAUAUCCUGGUCUGCGCACCAGAAAAAACGUACUUGGACAAAGCGGUUAAAAGGACUAUUGAAACCAUAGAAAAGGCAGGAUUCGAGAUCCAUGAGGACAAAAUACAGUACACCAAUCCAUGGACUUACCUUGGACUCCAGAUCUGGGAAAGGACCAUCGUACCCCAGCAGCUCGCCAUCCGAGAUGACCCAAAAACCCUGAGAGACUUACACAGUCUGUGCGGAUCCAUCAACUGGGUACGUCCACUGCUAGGAAUUACAACAGAGGACCUCGCUCCACUGUUCAACCUUCUUCGGGGCAAGGAGAAUCUGGGCUCUCCAUGCACUCUAAAACCAGAGGCCCAAGAUGCCAUCACCAAGGUCCAAGAAGCGCUGUCUUCACGCAAAGCCCAUCGCUUCGAGCCCAGCCUGCCUUUCCAGUUCGUCAUUCUGGGAAAAGUACCUCAGUUCUAUGGACUGAUUUUCCAAUGGGACACUCAACUUCGAGACCCUUUACUAAUCCUGGAGUGGAUCUUUACAAAUAACCAACCCACAAAGAAAAUUACCACCUUCCAAGAAAUAAUGGCACAUUUAAUAAAAAAGGCUAGAACUCGCCUCCGUUCCCUUGCAGGGUGUGAGUUCACAUGCAUAUAUUUGCCAAUGACCACUGGGGACCUGGAACAUUUGCUCCACACCAAUGAGAGUCUCCAGUACUCCUGAGAUAGUUAUACAGGCCAAAUUUCAGUACAUAUCCCAAAACAUAAGCUUUUUAAUCGUGAUGUAACAUUUCAUCUGACCCCAAAAUUAGUCCAAAGUAGGACACCUCUCAAAGCUCUAACCAUCUUUACAGAUGUCUCAGGGUCAUCCCACAAGUCGGUAAUGACAUGGAGGGACCCUAAGACCCAAAAUUGGGAAUCUGACAUAAAAAUAGUGGAGGGAUCUCCACAGAUUGCGGAGUUAGCAGCUGUUGUCAGAGCCUUUGAGAAAUUCAAAGACUAACCUUUUAAUCUGGUCACAGAUUCAGCUUAUGUUGCUGGCAUAGCUAUGAGAGCAGAACAUGCUCUUCUCAAAGAAGUUUCCAACCCAAAGUUAUAACAAUUGAUUUCCACAUUAACACGCUUAAUUUCCCACAGAAAACAACCUCACUAUAUAAUGCAUGUGAGGUCACACACUGACCUCCCAGGUUUAAUUACAGAAGGGAACCGGAAAGCAGACACAUUAGCCAUGGCAAUAGAGACUGCUAAUGUCCCUAACAUCUUUUCCUAGGCAAAGCUGUCACACUCAUUUUUUCAUCAAAAUGUGCCUGCCCUUAUCAGAAUGUUCAAGCUUUCAAAAGAUCAAGCAAAAGCUAUUGUUGCCACAUGCCCAAACUGUCAAAACUACCAGAUACCAUCUAUGGGGACGGGAGUCAAUCCCCGAGGUUUAAACAGCUGCCAGCUGUGGCAGACAGAUGUAACCCCCUUUGCACCUUUUGGAAGGUCAAAGUACGUGCACGUAUCGGUUGAUACGUUCUCAGGAGCAGUAUUUGCAUCAACACAUACAGGAGAAACUGCGCAGCACGCCAUAAAACAUUUUCUCCUCACAUUUGCAACCCUGGGAGUACCAAAGGAGAUCAAAACAGACAAUGGACCUGCCUAUACCUCUCGUAAGUUAAAAGAGUUCUUCAGUGAGUGGGGAAUACAACACAAGACAGGUAUACCUGCAAACCCCACAGGACAAUCCAUCAUGGAAAGGACACAUCAAACUCUCAAAAGAGUCCUCAAUCAGCAACAGAGAGGAACAAAAAUCAUUUCUCCAGUUGAAAGACUUUGCAAGGCUCUCUAUGUCAUCAACUUCCUGAACUGUACAACCUCAGAGCCUGAUCCACCAAUACUUCGCCACUUUGCAAAUACCACCCAAGCAAAGCUCACAGAGAAACCACCUGUGCUGGUGAAGGACCCAGAAACACAUAAAGUCUCUGGACCUUUCAAACUCAUUACCUGGGGAAGAGGAUAUGCGUGUGUUCUACUACCAUCUGGUCCAAGAUGGUACCCAGGGAAAAACAUAAAACCAUACCUAGGCACUGCAAAUACUACUUCCACAAGCAGUGACAAGAAUCCUCCUGAGUCAAACACAAGACCUCCUCAAAACCAGACCAGCUCGGCCUGGAGACGAAGACGUCGCCAAACAUCCACAGGGGGAGGAGACGACUGUCCCAUCACACAACAGCAGACAAACCAGGAAGCUGAACAACAUUCUGCGGCAUCAAGCCCUAGGCCAGACACAGCCUGAAAACAAAACUGUUCUCUGAAUUAGAUGUUAUUACCCUUUUUACCCUAAAAACCCUAUUAUCCCCUUUAUCAACCCUUGCCAAAAGCCUCUAACCUUUUACCCACUCCCCCACCCUUAGCACCACAGAAAAAACAAAAAAACAGUCAAAAACUAAAAAUAAAUAGGGGGACUGGAAGAAACAGGGGAAAGGAACAAGAAAGGAACCCUAACCCUCCCCUCCUACCAUAAAAAUAACAAGUUUUGCUUAUAUUCCCUAUCAGAAGCCACAUUCCUGUCCAAAGAUGAAAAAUAUAUCCAUUGGUGCUGUCCUCACUGCUGCCUGGAUGUUCCUCACCGUGCCGUGUGCCAUCGGUUGGAUCGGCCCACAGCCGAGCCAUAAUGUCUGGGUAACCUUAGCAAGGACAUUAAAACAGGAUAACAUGUGCUUAUCCAUGGGGAGCGUUGAUAACCCACUUUCCACAUGUCUAGUAGGAAUUCCAUUCAUCGCCGAUGACUGGCCCGCCUAUAAUUCAGAGCUUCUCCGCACCACAGGUAAGCGACCCCACCAGGUAGAAACUUGGGACGAGUGGACAAAAAUACUGCCCAAUGCUCUUGAGGAACCUCAAGAAUUGGAUCUGUUGGGGUCCUCCAAAGCCACAUUCUGCGUCAAAUUUUACUUUAGACGUCCAAAGAAUAAUUGGCCUGAAAUUGACCUGAACAAAAACACAUACCGAAAAGACAUAUCGCCAAUUAACAAAUCCUACAACCCUCACGAUUGGUGUAAUUACACUGCUUGUGUGAUCUCUGUGUCCUCUCUCCAUCCCAAAGUUCUACCCAAGGGAACGCUUCUCAUCUGUGGUGACAGAGUAUGGGCUGGGAUCCCCUCACGACUCCAGGGAGGUCCUUGUACCCUAGGAAAACUUUCUACCGUUACUCCAAAUAUCACCUUGUUACACAAUUGGAAAAAAGCGAAUUAAAACGCCACAAAAGGUCCUACACAGCAUUUGAUGAAAAUUGCGAUCCCAAAUUAUACGAUUGGAACAAACCUAAAAAGAUAGCGGUCUCUAUAUUCCUACCAUGGGUGAAAUAAAUCACCUUGGGUGCUGGCUCAGUAAGCAAGCUAAACGCUACUUCUGCUGCCCUGAGCGAUCUCUUAAAGGAAGAAGAAACCACAAGACAUGCCUCACUCCAAAAUCGAGCAGCGAUUGACUUCCUGCUGCUUGCCCACGGACAUGGCUGCAAGGACUUUGAAGGGAUGUGCUGCUUCAAUCUCUCUUCACGCUCAGAAUCCAUCCACACCAACAUCCAAAAACUGAAGGGACUUGUGAAGGACUUAAAAGUUGAAAAGACCCCAGACUGAGUCAAUGACCUCUUCGGUCAAUGGGGAUUAACGGGAUUGGUUGCAUCUUUGGUUAAGGGAAUCUUGUGGAUUUUUCUUGUAAUUGUCAUGGUGCUAGUCAUGUUCUCAUGCCUUGUUCAUUGUUUUAAAAGAACCAUAGGGAAUGCCUUUUUUCUAAAUACAGAAAGUGGAGUUGUAGCAGGCACAGGGCCUGCACGGCCUCCUUGGCGAUCAGAAGCCUGAGCUAGGAAAUGCCAAAGUCAGCAUGACUAAGGCUUUAGAAGCCCCUCUCUUCCGCCUUUCGGACUCUGCUUAUGUCUCUGUAAGCCUAUAGGUCACUUUCCCCUGACCCUUACUAUUGGACAGUUUUCAAAACCCCUGUAGGGUAUAAAAACCCCUAAUUCUGCCUGGUUCGGCAGAAGAGCUGUCACUGGACCCUUCGCGGAGACCCGAAUAAAAGAACCCUGCGGAACCCAUGCAGCGCUUCUCUCUCUCCCUCUGCGUCUGCUGCGGCGGCACCUAGGAGGGCACGGGCAAGCUGAAAGAGCUGAAAUCACAAAAGCGCUGGCUGCAAAUCACUAUAGCUUGCCCAGGUUGCCUGAGCCCCCCCCCGCUGAGCUAUCCUGGCCGGCCGGCAUUCCCUGCUGGGCUUCUGCCCUGAGGGUAAUAGCCAGGCCAUAGAGAUUGAUUUAAAGUCGCCUUGCGCAUUGACCCUUGAGGCACGUCAGGUGCUGGAGGUGGUUCAGUGAGCUGUUUCUGCUUGCCAGGUUUAUCGCAUUGAUCCCUCCAUUGAUGUCACUGUGUCUCAGGUUCCCUAUGGUCGGCAUGACCCAGAGCCAGCCUGAUGGUCGCAGAAAGAGUUGGAGUUCUUCAUUUGUGGUUCUCAAGGUCGUUUAUUGUUGCUUAUCUAAGAUGUUUUUUCUCCGGCCCGCCACAGGCUUGUCUGGCACACUACACGCCUCUCGGGCUGGUGCUAUCUUUUAUACUAAAAACUACCUAUACUAUGUUUACAAUAAUGUUCCAAUACCUAUCACCUAUGUUAGACAGUGACUUUCUACUCUAAACCAAUCUGUGAGUGCCAACAUCAUCCUGAACAUGGAUGCCAGGGACAAGAAAAAAGAAGGACAGGGCACGCCCAAAUCCCUCCAUCUUGGACCCCCUGACCCCCAUGUACAGAAUCCCAAACCCCCCUGUACAAGGUUCUAAAUCCCCCUGUACAUGGUUCGAAAAUUUUCCCUUCACCCCGUGCUUACUACUACUGUGCUACUUAGACUUUUGUGACCUGUGACUCUUCAUACAAGGUUGGUAAUUUCUCCCAGGGGCUAAGAUCGAAUCCCUAAGUGGUUUUGGCCUUCUGCCAGGGCUCGUCAGCCCCCUGCCAGGGGCUCAAGCCAUCCAGGUCACCCAGAGGGGUGUCCUGGUGUAGGAGUGUAGGAGAGUGCCCCCUAAUGACAGAGUGGCAAAGCUAGCCUUUGUCCUCCAAAAAAGGAAAGAAGCCCAGAAGUUUCUCUCAACGAUUAGGUGAAAAGCCACCUCAUAGGACCUCAGAGACUUCACCAAAAACUUGGGGUCAUCUAAUUGGAUAGAAGCCAAAAAGUCCCGCCUGGCCCAUCGGGUAGAAAAGAGGAGAACAAAAGAACUAAGAGGCUUUUGUGAAGGUGUUUCUACCAGGGGCAGACCGCUAUACCUGGCUUGAAUUUUUCUCUUUGUUAUUUUGCCUUUUAUUAAACCUUUUUGUUUCUAACACUGCAGCAGAAGCCAUCCUGCUCAUUAUUUUGCCUCCAAAGGUAAUAGCUAAGCUCUCCUUGGGUGUGUUAGGUUCCCUUUUGAGGGUUCAUAAGACCUGGCCCGAGAAAAAGAACCUAGCAUCCUGGGUUUCGACAACUGUGUUCAUUACCACUCCAGAUUCGCAUCCCACAGGCAUCAUUGGCCAAUGGAGUGCCAAAUGGUCCAAUUUCUUGUACAUAUUGAAAUCGGUUUUCCUGCCCCAUCAGCCACAGAAGACGGUAAGCCCAAUGAUGAGCUAAUUGCUCACUUGAUAAUCAAAUGCCGGCAACGGCAUUUGCAAUUGAUGGGUGUGGAUCCCACAAAGAUCAUACUCCUGGUACGGUGGGAGGAUUUUGACAAAAACAGUGUGUCCCUGGAGUGCUCUGGAAAAAUUUUCAGGGCAGAUCACUAAUCAUCUGCCCAGCCACAAGCUAUUGCAGGUAGCGAAACUCACACAAAUCUCUUUGCAGCCCAAAAAUAGUCAGGAACCCAUGCAAGGACCCACUGUCUUCACUGACAUUUCGGGGAAAACGGAAGGCCAUUUUUACUUGGAGGAAUGGAUCUGAGUGGCAGGUCCUGAAAGGUCAUGAGGAUGGGUCAGCCUCAGUUGGUUGAAUUGAGGGCUGCUCUCAUGGCAUUUGAGAAAUUUUCCCAGGAACCUUUCAAUUUGGUGACGGAUUCUGCCUAUGUGGCCGACAUCGCACAGCAGUUGGGUCACUCGGUCUUGAAGGAGGUCAGUAACCCUGCCUUGUUUCAUUUACUGAAGACCUUGUGGUGUGCCAUUCAGGCUCGGGUUCAUCCUAUGUUCUGCAUGUGAGGAGUCACACCAAUUUGCCAGGGUUUGUAGUGGAAGGUAAUGCGAGGGCUGACAAGUUGGCUAACCCAGCGAGGGUAGCACUUCAGCCUGAUACACUCGUGCAGGCCGAGGCAUCGCAUGGGUUUUUCCAUCAGAAUGCACUUACCCCGCAGAAGCAGUUUCAGCUGACGCCAACUGAGGCUCGUGACAUUGUCGAGUCAUGUGACGACUGCCACGUAGUUGCUCCACCUUUGCCUGCAGGGGUAAACUUCAGAAGUCUUAGGGCCUUGGAGCUUUGGCAGACCGAUGUCACCCAGAUUGCUGAGUUUGGCCAGCUCAAGUAUAUGCAUUUCACGGUGGACAUGUUCUCCUCUGCAAUGUGGGCUUCUGCUCACACUGGAGAAGAGGCCCACACUGUCCUUGCCCACUGGAGGCAGGCCUUUGCUGUUCUGGGCAUACCUUCUGCUGUGAAAACCGACAAUGGUCCUGCUUAUGCAUCGCAGAAGGUGCGGCAGUUCCUGCAGUUGUGGGGUGUGUCACACAAGUUUGGUAUCCCUCAUUCUCCAACUGGUCAAGCUAUUGGUACUCUGAAGCGGGUUCUUCAAAAACAAAGCCAGUGAAUGCCGGGUGAAACCCCGCACAGUCAGUUGGCAAAAGCUUUGUACACCAUCAAUCAUCUUACGGUGCUGCAGAACUCAAAUAAUCCUGUCAUUUUGAGUCAUCAUCUCUUGUUGCAGGCUGCGGACACGGCAUAUCAGCAUCAUGCGAAGGUUCGGGCAUCUAAUUUAAUCACCAAACAGUGGGAAGGUCCCUAUGACCUUAUCACUUUGGGCCGUGGGUAUGCUUGUGUAUCCACAGAUACUGUGGUACGCUGAGUACCUUCGAAGUGUGUUUAUCCUGACCUGCCACUGCAGAAACAGAAUCCGGUCGAUGGGCAAAAAGUAAACUGACCAAACUGAAAGCCAUCAAGUGGGUGAAUCAUUGAGUGAUGACUUGGAUGCAGAUGACGCGAGUGAUCACUCUGAUGAUUCCUCCACGAAUGGACUCUGAACCUUGUUCAUUUUUUUUUCUCAUUGUUGAUUUUUCUUUCUUUUUUUUUAACAGAAAAGGGUUAGAUGUCACCCUGAUUUUUUAAGAUUUUCUAAGCCUUCUGAUGUUUACAUUCUUGUAACUAACUUCCUCACACACUUUAUGUAAAUAACUUUUUGUUUUGCAUUCUUUUAUGGAGGAGGAGAAAUUUGAUGGACUCUUGGUUUGUCCAGUGUCAUUGGAGAGGUGGCACUUUCACCCUCCAAUCCGCUGUCACUUUUGGAAAUCUAUAAAUGUUGGAGUCAGAAAAUAAACUUCCCUUUUUUGCCUUGGAAAGACCAGCCGAGUCCGCGUCCUGUUGUUUUGUGUCCUAUAGUGACACUUCGGCAACAGCAGAGACCCGCAGCCUGCUGUUGUUUGGAAGUCACACCUAGCUGCCACGGUAGCCACGUAUACACACUGCUGUUCGCCGUACGCAGGCUCCAUCUGCUGAGCUGAUGGCGGCAGAGCACCUGGGGCUCUUGCAUUAACACUGUCCCUGUCUUCUGUUUCUCUCUCCAUCUCUAUUUUUCCCUCUCUGAUCUCUCUUCUAUCCCACUUCA
Long non-coding RNA from Passer domesticus (house sparrow), 12957 nucleotides. RefSeq lists it as uncharacterized. The transcript is spliced from 4 exons. The record is from RefSeq and is a predicted model, not a curated record. Lineage: Eukaryota; Metazoa; Chordata; Aves; Passeriformes; Passeridae.